Molecule: transfer RNA, 77 nt
Filed under: bacterium
Lineage: Bacteria
Description: tRNA-Lys
Rfam family: tRNA
About the family: Transfer RNA (tRNA) molecules are approximately 80 nucleotides in length. Their secondary structure includes four short double-helical elements and three loops (D, anti-codon, and T loops).
Source: RNAcentral
GGGCCCAUAGCUCAGUUGGUUAGAGCAGUAGCCUUUUAAGCUACGUGUCGUGGGUUCGAGUCCCACUGGGCCCUCCA